GUGGGGAAUAUUCCGCAAUGGACGAAAGUCUGACGGAGCAACGCCGCGUGAGUGAUGAAGGUUUUCGGACUGUAAAGCUCUGUUGUUUAGGACGAAAGUGCCUGUUGCAAAUAGUUACAGGUAUUGACGGUACUGAACGAGGAAGCCACGGCUAACUACGUGCCAGCAGCCGCGGUAAUACGUAGGUGGCAAGCGUUGUCCGGAAUUAUUGGGCGUAAAGAGCAUGUAGGCGGAGAUUUAAGUCUGUUGUGAAAAUGCGGGGCUCAACCCCGUAUUGCGAUGGAAACUGAAUUUCUUGAGUGCAGGAGAGGAAAGGGGAAUUCCCAGUGUAGCGGUGAAAUGCGUAGAUAUUGGGAGGAACACCAGUGGCGAAGGCGCCUUUCUGGACUGUGUCUGACGCUGAGAUGCGAAAGCCAGGGUAGCGAACGGGAUUAGAAACCCCUGUAGUCC
This 450-nucleotide ribosomal RNA is filed under the name uncultured bacterium. RNAcentral's name for it is "partial 16S ribosomal RNA". It matches the Rfam family "Bacterial small subunit ribosomal RNA", at positions 354 to 796 of the family's 1533-position model. The record is from RNAcentral.